Long non-coding RNA from Raphanus sativus (radish), 887 nucleotides. RefSeq lists it as uncharacterized. The transcript is spliced from 2 exons. Lineage: Eukaryota; Viridiplantae; Streptophyta; Magnoliopsida; Brassicales; Brassicaceae. The record is from RefSeq and is a predicted model, not a curated record.
UUAGUUAUCCUCGUGCUUCUUUCCUAUUGGUCAGUUUUUUCAAGAGAAAGAUUGCUUUUCCAAGAAAAAAAAAAUUGCUAUCGAUCAAUAACGUAACUCUACGCAGAUCACACUCUUUACCGUUGGAUGAGUUUUAAUCUAACGGACCAAAUGUAAUUUAAUUCUCUGCCUUUCUUUUCGUCUCUUUUUUUUUUCGAGGCAUCUCAUCGGUUCCCAUCCCAUCUUUUCUGCAUCUCUACAGAUCUCGAGCUCAUCGGUUCCUUUCCUCUCAAUCUCGAGCUCUUCUACUGAUUCGAAGUGUUACUCACAGAUCUACUGUCUCGCUUUACUCACUCAGAGAACCAGAUUCGUGUCAAGUCUGAAGCGGUUGAGUUUGAAGCCUAGAUUUCGUGUCCUGGAUACCUUCUUCAUGGAGAGCUCGAUACUGGAAGAAGACAGAUGAAGAGGACGACGGUAACGCCGGUAAAAAGUCAAGAGACUUGGAGAGUUACGCAAGCUUUGUAUACCUCUGCUUACUGCAAUUUUUCAUCUGAGUUUGAUAUUGGGCUGAGCAAAUUUGUUUUUUUUACCUACAAUUAGAUGGAGUUGGAGUCGAGCAAGAUUUAGAAGAGAGGAGAUGGAGUUGAUUCAGAGGCGAGGGAAGAGAGACAUGAGAAGCUUGAGGGAGUUAGUUCAGAGACAAUGGCGAAGUUACACAUAGACACAAGAAGGAGGAUGGAGUAGGAAGAUGACGACAGAGUAGAUUUAGGUUUUGGUUUAAUCUGUUUUGGUUUAGUUUUUGGUUUAAUGUAUUCUGGUUUAUUUUUAUUUUUUUAUCCUGAUCUAGUUUUAUAUUUAUUUGUAAUCUAAUUUUCAUUAAUAAAUAAAAUUUCUUUUUUAAUUAAAAA